This 465-nucleotide ribosomal RNA is filed under the name uncultured Klebsiella sp. RNAcentral describes it as "bacterial SSU rRNA". It matches the Rfam family "Bacterial small subunit ribosomal RNA", at positions 338 to 795 of the family's 1533-position model. The record is from RNAcentral. Lineage: Bacteria; Pseudomonadati; Pseudomonadota; Gammaproteobacteria; Enterobacterales; Enterobacteriaceae.
CCUACGGGUGGCUGCAGUGGGGAAUAUUGCACAAUGGGCGCAAGCCUGAUGCAGCCAUGCCGCGUGUGUGAAAAAGGCCUUCGGGUUGUAAAGCACUUUCAGCGGGGAGGAAGGCGGUGAGGUUAAUAACCUCAUCGAUUGACGUUACCCGCAGAAGAAGCACCGGCUAACUCCGUGCCAGCAGCCGCGGUAAUACGGAGGGUGCAAGCGUUAAUCGGAAUUACUGGGCGUAAAGCGCACGCAGGCGGUCUGUCAAGUCGGAUGUGAAAUCCCCGGGCUCAACCUGGGAACUGCAUUCGAAACUGGCAGGCUAGAGUCUUGUAGAGGGGGGUAGAAUUCCAGGUGUAGCGGUGAAAUGCGUAGAGAUCUGGAGGAAUACCGGUGGCGAAGGCGGCCCCCUGGACAAAGACUGACGCUCAGGUGCGAAAGCGUGGGGAGCAAACAGGAUUAGAUACCCGAGUAGUC